GAUGAACGCUGACAGAAUGCUUAACACAUGCAAGUCUUUGGCGAAGCUGUGCUUGCACAGCCUAGCCAAGGCGGACGGGUGAGUAACGCGUAAGGAACUUGCCCUGCAGUCAGGGAUAACAGACGGAAACGACUGAUAAGACCUGGUAAAGUCAGGCGGACUCAUGUCCAGCCUGAUGAAAAGAGAUGCUGCAGGAGAGCCUUGCGUCCUAUUAGCUUGUUGGUGGGGUAACGGCCCACCAAGGCGAUGAUAGGUAGCCGGCCUGAGAGGGUGGACGGCCACAAGGGGACUGAGAUACGGCCCUUACUCCUACGGGAGGCAGCAGUGGGGAAUAUUGGACAAUGGGGGCAACCCUGAUCCAGCAAAUCUGUGUGCACGAUGAAGGUUUUCGGAUUGUAAAGUGCUUUCAGCAGGGAGGAAAAAAAUGACGGUACCUGCAGAAGAAGCGACGGCUAAAUACGUG
RNAcentral lists this ribosomal RNA (463 nucleotides) under uncultured bacterium. RNAcentral's name for it is "partial 16S ribosomal RNA". It matches the Rfam family "Bacterial small subunit ribosomal RNA", at positions 28 to 507 of the family's 1533-position model. The record is from RNAcentral.